Molecule: long non-coding RNA, 310 nt
Filed under: Androctonus crassicauda
Lineage: Eukaryota; Metazoa; Arthropoda; Arachnida; Scorpiones; Buthidae
Source: RNAcentral
AAAAAAUGUCUUGCAUCUGUUAAUGGUAUCAUCAUUCUGUAAAAAGUUAAUCAAAAUCUAUGUUUUUUAAUUGAGUAAUUUUCGUAGACCGCGGGGCCUCUCAAAACACAAGGCCGGGUUCCAGCGAAUGCACUGAACCUGCCUUGCACCAGCCCUGACUGACCAAGUUACUAUAGUAAAAAAGGCAGCAAUCUUCUAUGAGGAAUUAUACAGACCAAGAGAACAGAUGACGCAAGCGAAACCAAGACCAGCAAAUAUAGAAGAUAUUCUAAUAAUAUUACCACAAGAAGUUAGGAAAACAGUUAAGAAG